RNAcentral lists this ribosomal RNA (216 nucleotides) under Glomeromycotina sp. Its description in RNAcentral is "partial small subunit ribosomal RNA". The stretch from base 40 to 216 matches the Rfam family "Eukaryotic small subunit ribosomal RNA", at positions 686 to 864 of the family's 1831-position model. The record is from RNAcentral. Lineage: Eukaryota; Fungi; Glomeromycota.
GGGUCAGUAGGUUGGUCGUGCCACCGGUACGUACUGGUCUCACUGAUUCCUCCUUCCUGAAGAAUCGUAGUGCCAUUAAUUUGGUGUUGCGGGGAAACAGGACUGUUACUUUGAAAAAAUUAGAGUGUUUAAAGCAAGCUAACGCUUGAAUACAUUAGCAUGGAAUAAUGAAAUAGGACGAUCGAUCCUAUUUUGUUGGUUUCUAGGAUUGACGUA